AACGAACGCUGGCGGCGCGCCUAAUACAUGCAAGUCGAGCGAGAAGACGUAGCAAUACGUUUGUAAAGCGGCGAAUGGGUGAGGAAUACAUGGGUAACCUACCCUCGAGUGGGGAAUAACUAGCCAAAGGUUAGCUAAUACCGCGUACGCUCCUUGGACUUCGGUUCAGGGAGGAAAGCGAUACCGUGGGUAUCGCGCUCUUGGAUGGGCUCAUGUCCUAUCAGCUUGUUGGUGAGGAACGGCUCACCAAGGCUUCGACGGGUAGCUGGUCUGAGAGGACGAUCAGCCACACUGGCACUGCGACACGGGCCAGACUCCUACGGGAGGCAGCAGUAAGGAAUAUUGCGCAAUGGGCGAAAGCCUGACGCAGCGACGCCGCGUGGGGGA
Molecule: ribosomal RNA, 387 nt
Filed under: uncultured bacterium
Lineage: Bacteria
Description: bacterial SSU rRNA
Rfam family: Bacterial small subunit ribosomal RNA
Source: RNAcentral